RNAcentral lists this transfer RNA (73 nucleotides) under Clostridium sp. OM05-9BH. Its description in RNAcentral is "tRNA-Val". It matches the Rfam family "tRNA". Rfam says of the family: Transfer RNA (tRNA) molecules are approximately 80 nucleotides in length. Their secondary structure includes four short double-helical elements and three loops (D, anti-codon, and T loops). Lineage: Bacteria; Bacillati; Bacillota; Clostridia; Eubacteriales; Clostridiaceae. The record is from RNAcentral.
GGGAUCUUAGCUCAGCUGGGAGAGCAUCUGCCUUACAAGCAGAGGGUCACAGUUUCGAGCCCUGUAGGUCCCA